CCAUGCCGCGUGUAUGAAGAAGGCCUUCGGGUUGUAAAGUACUUUCAGCGGGGAGGAAGGUGUUGUGGUUAAUAACCGCAGCAAUUGACGUUACCCGCAGAAGAAGCACCGGCUAACUCCGUGCCAGCAGCCGCGGUAAUACGGAGGGUGCAAGCGUUAAUCGGAAUUACUGGGCGUAAAGCGCACGCAGGCGGUCUGUCAAGUCGGAUGUGAAAUCCCCGGGCUCAACCUGGGAACUGCAUUCGAAACUGGCAGGCUUGAGUCUUGUAG
Molecule: ribosomal RNA, 270 nt
Filed under: Salmonella enterica subsp. enterica serovar Give
Lineage: Bacteria; Pseudomonadati; Pseudomonadota; Gammaproteobacteria; Enterobacterales; Enterobacteriaceae
Description: partial 16S ribosomal RNA
Rfam family: Bacterial small subunit ribosomal RNA
Source: RNAcentral